UCCGUAGGUGAACCUGCGGAAGGAUCAUUACUGAGUAAACGGGUCUUUUAGGCCCCUACUCCCACCCUUUGUGUACCUUACCAUAUCUUCUGUUGCCUUGGCGGGUUGGACCGCCUAAGGACCUCGCGUUCUUAGGCACCUUUCCGCCAGGGGAACACCUUUAAAACUCGUAUGAAUUGAGUCGUCUGAGAAUUUAUGCAAAUAAAUUAAAACUUUCAACAACGGAUCUCUUGGUUCUGGCAUCGAUGAAGAACGCAGCGAAAUGCGAUAAGUAAUGUGAAUUGCAGAAUUCAGUGAAUCAUCGAAUCUUUGAACGCACAUUGCGCCCUUUGGUAUUCCGAAGGGCAUGCCUGUUCGAGCGUCAUUACAACCCUCAAGCUUCUGCUUGGUAUUGGGCUCUCGUCCGUCCAUGGACGUGCCUGAAACUCAUUGGCAGUGGUGCCCAGCCCCCAGCGUAGUCAUAUUAACCGCUCUGGAUGUUUUGGACACGACCCGCCAGAAAACCCUCCACCGUCAAAAAGUGGAGAUCUUCUCAAGGUUUGACCUCGGAUCAGGUAGGGAUACCCGCUGAACUUAAGCAUAUCAAUAAGCGGAGGA
RNAcentral lists this ribosomal RNA (597 nucleotides) under uncultured Helicosporium. Its description in RNAcentral is "eukaryotic LSU rRNA". The stretch from base 211 to 364 matches the Rfam family "5.8S ribosomal RNA". Lineage: Eukaryota; Fungi; Ascomycota; Dothideomycetes; Tubeufiales; Tubeufiaceae. The record is from RNAcentral.